This 65-nucleotide transfer RNA is filed under the name Lachnospiraceae bacterium. Its description in RNAcentral is "tRNA-Asn". The stretch from base 1 to 58 matches the Rfam family "tRNA", at positions 8 to 63 of the family's 71-position model. Rfam says of the family: Transfer RNA (tRNA) molecules are approximately 80 nucleotides in length. The record is from RNAcentral. Lineage: Bacteria; Bacillati; Bacillota; Clostridia; Lachnospirales; Lachnospiraceae.
UAGCUCAGUCGGUAGAGCGCAUGACUGUUAAUCAUGAUGUCGGCGGUUCGAGUCCACCAGGGGGA